RNA transcript from Panicum virgatum (switchgrass), 3899 nucleotides. It is a transcript of the gene named F-box protein SKIP19-like, with no coding region annotated. The record is from RefSeq and is a predicted model, not a curated record. The transcript is spliced from 10 exons. NCBI's taxonomy places the organism in Eukaryota, Viridiplantae, Streptophyta, Magnoliopsida, Poales, Poaceae.
CCCACACUGCGCCAGGGUUCGAAUCCCACGGGCGGCUAAACAAAAGAGGAAGAAAGAAAGGUCCGAAGCCGCGUCGCCCAUCCUCGACUAGCGCCGCCCAGUUAGGCAGCCCGAGGAGCGACGGCGGCAGAGCGGGGACGCGGCACUUGCGACGGCAGUCUCGAGGAUGCGGACGCGAGGCCGCGGCGGGAUGCGCCGCCUCUGGGCAUCGGCCGGCCGCGGCGGUUGACUUCAAAGGGUUGUGGUUUCAGGAUGCCAGAUCGGCAACAGUCCGAGGAGCUGGAGGAGCAGGUGGACCUGGAGGGGGACGACGACGAUGGGUACUGCCGCCGCGGCCAGGACGACGACGGGAUGGCGGCCGACCCGGCCGUGGGAGGCAGCGAUGGAGACGAGGUGGACAAGGGGGCCAAUGGGGACUGGCCCAAGGACGAGGAGGAGAAGAGGAAGUGGGAGGAUCUACUCGCGUCGCCGCCGCACGGAUCCGAGGUCUCCAUUGACGGCCUGCCCAGGGACAUCACCGAGGAGACCCUCCGCGAGCUGCGUGACCCAUUGGGUGAAAUCUAUGAGCUCUUUGUGAUGAACGAAUGAAUGACAAGUGAGGCUCACCAAGGAUAAGGACACCAAUGAGAACGAGGGAUUCGCCUUUGUAGCGUUACUCUGGCGCUACCAUUUCGGUGAGCCACAGAUUUAAAUUGUAUAUGCAUUGGAUGUAUUUGCUACAUUCCAUGUGUAACACAGGGACAGGAUAAGCCGUGUUCUAUGCUUCAAAUAUUUUUCUUCAAUUCCAUUUCUCUUUCCACUCAGUUCUUACUUUUCUGGUAACCAGCAAUAUCUCGUUCCUUUAUUCAUAAUGGGUACUGUUUGUUUUGAUCAGUGUGAGAACCAAUAUAUUUUGAGUCAAUAGCGAAGUUUUGGAUAUAUCAGAAAUUAUGUUGUAGCUAAACAUAUUGAAACUGGUUAGCUGAUUUGUUUGUUUGGGUGGCCUAAAAAUGGAUGAUUUUGAGACAGUGGCAAUGUUUUGGAUUUGAAAGGAAAAACAUUAUGUCCUUGAAUAAUUUAGUACCUCAAGAACAUUUUGUGUACUUUAGUUUAGUUUGGAAACAUUAUGUCCUGAAGGAGUGGGGUCACCUGAUGGAAUGCUUGGACUUGCCGAGCUAAUUGGGGGUCACAUGUUUCGAAUUGUUUGUCGCUAACCUAGAAUACCCAAAGAACAAGUCAUAGAGUUUUGCUUCAUAAUUUUCUUGGUUCUUUUUUGGGAACCAUAUUAACUAAUGAUGUUUUGCUUCUUUCAAUUUCCCCAUCAAAGGUUAUUAGUUGAUUUACUUACAGCAUGUUAUGCACCACCUUCGCAAUUUACUUACUGCAUGUUAUGCACCACUACCGGUAGCAUUGGUGUAAAAUGUGUUGAACAGUGUAUCUUUUCAUGAAGAGAGGUACAUGUUUUUAAUGAAGUUUGUUCCUUUUCAGUGUAUCUGAAGCUAAGCUUCCAGAGUAUCCACAGAAGACUGAAGCAUUGCAUGUACAUUUGCAGGUAACAUGUAGAUAUCAUGCAAAGUUUUAUCUAUAGAUGAUUUCCUUGCAUUAGUGGGGUUUUAUAUUUGACAAAAAGGAGUUCUAUUGGAAUCAAAAUGAAUCACUGUUGACUAGGUUGGAAUCUGAGAGGUCCUCAUCCCAGAUGAGGAAAGAGGAUUUCCUGCCCAUUGGGGGAGAAGAUCUCAGUGAGGAUCCAUCAUUUAUUUGGAAUAAUCUUUGCUGAUUGAUUGUUUUUUAAGCUUUACAUUUUAAUUUUGGAGGACUCAUGUUCUUUUCUUUGCACACAUUUGAGCAGAAGGCCAGAAAAAGUAUCCAGGAUUUCAAUGGACAAUGGGGUUGGAUCAGAUGUUUUUUUCUUGAUGCCACCUAUUUAAAUAUAUGUCUAUGAUAUGAUUUAAUAACUCAGACAUGUCCUAAUCAUUGAUGCUCAUGUAACUCCAAUGCUCUUUUGUAGGACAUGAGUUUGCUUGCAACAGCUGAACAUGACUGAUAGAUUCCAUUUUGCAAACAGUGACAGCCCUCCCAUUUAGUAUUGGUCUUCCAUCUGCUUUCGAUGCAAUUUUCGGACAUGGACAUCUCACUUCUCCAUGGUCUUGUCCCUGAAACACUUGUUCAAAUUGAUAAGCUUCUGUCAGAAAGAGCGUUAGCACGGGCCAACUUAGCCUAAGGUUCCAGAUGAGACCCAAGGUUUGGUGCGCCUCCUUAAAUUCUAGUGGGACGGAUUCAUUCGCCGAGCAGAGAUCCGAGAGCUCGUCUUCUCCUCGACGGCCGGUGGCGACGAAGCUCCUUUCCUCUCCCCUUCUACUCAGGUGUUUGCCAAGGACAAUGGAGGCCGGGGGAGACGCCGAGCCUGCGCAAGCGGUGCCGGCCACGGCCAGGGACUGGGCGGAGCUGCCCCUCGACGCCAUCGCGUCGGUCUUCGCCAGGCUCGGCCCCGUCGAGAUCCUGAUGGGCGCCGGACUCGUGUGCCGCUCGUGGCUCCACGCGGCCGAGGGGCUUUCUUCCCCGUGGAAGCACCUCGACAUGGCGAGCAGCCACAAUGUCGUCAAGGACAAGUGUAGAUCCGGCGAUGCGGGUGCCCUGCGUGCCAUGGCGAGGAAGGCCGUGGACCGCUCCGCCGGCCAGCUGGAGGUGUUCGUAGGGGAGGAGUUUGUCGAUGAUGACCUGCUCAAGUACAUUGGGGGCAGGGCACCAUCUCUCAAGGUUCUUCGCCUAAUAUCAUGCUUCCAUAUCCGCAAUGAAGGAUUUGUUGAGGCAAUCAGCAAGUUCCCUCUGCUUGAGGAGCUCAACCUUUCUACCUGAAAAAGUAUAGGUGGCCGUGCAACCUAUGAGGCUGUUGGCAAAGCAUGCCGAAACCUAAAGCAAUUCGUAGCUGACAAAGAUUUCACAACAUACGGCAAGUUCGGCCAUGACGAAGCCUAUGGUAUCGUAACAAUGCACGGGCUGCGCUCCCUCAAGAUUUCUUGUGGUGAACUGAACAAGGCAAUGGCUGGCAUCCUUGACAACUGCCCUCACCUGGAGUCCCUUGACCUACUUUGUUGCUUCAACGUUGUCAUGGAUGGCGGAAUGCGGGCCAAGUGUGCUGGCAUCAAGAUGUGCGUCGAUCACAGCUAUGGUGACAUCUUCCCUAAUGGCCUCUUAAUUAUCUGAUGGUUACAAUCUGUACUGGGCUGUGAGCCCGCGAGCUGCAUCAUCAGGUUUUAAUGAAAAUGCUUCUACAACUUGUAGUACAUGACAAAGAGAGGAGAGCCUAGUGCAAAGUUCAGAGAAGCUCUUCCUGCAUUGAGAGUCUCCCGCAGUCUGUUCUCUUCGGAGCCUUGCAAGAACACGUCAGGCCGAGGUCAGAGAAACCACGCAAAUACGCAAUAUGCUGCAAUUGCAGUGCAAAGCUGAGUGAUUGUCACCAUUCUGUUCUUUGGUUCAUAUUUCUCCUACCUGACAAUCCGGGACUUUAGAAGCUCCAUCCAAAAAUCAUGAACGUAAAGAACAAGAUAUAGAUUGUCUGCAUCUUCUAGGCUAAGUUGGAGAAACAGUAGCUGAGCACCUCGCUCCUCGUGCUGAAUUUCAAGCUACUCAUGCGGCAGAUCGCAGAUGUAGCCCUUGUAUACGUGCACGGGAGCGGACAAUGUGUCAAUUAUUUUGAAAUGUGCCACAUUUUGUUUUUUUAAGUGAAUCCUACUUUUUGUAUAUAGUGAAAAAUAUUUGUCGGACCCGAGGCAACGGGACUGCUCAUAGGCGUAGAAUAUUUUAGAAUAAGGGAUAGCGCAUGGACGUUCCUUACCUCUCUUGUAACUACUCGUACAGUAGUAGGACUAGUUGAUGUACAAGAAAACUACUCGAUCACGUUGGAGUAGGAUUUAAUAGUA